CAUAGAUGCUGCCUGACCUGCAGAGUUUUGUGUGAAGACAUCACAGACGUUCCCUUAUUAUCCCUAAUAUGAAUCACCUUCAGCAGAGAAAAUACUUUUUGGAGGUUAAUGAACAAGCUGCUGGAGGAACUCAGUGGGUCAAGCAUCCAUGGGUGGAAAGGAAAUGUUGAUGUUUCGGGUCGAAAUCCUGCAUCAGGUCUAUAUGGAGGUCCUCUUUUUUUCAUCCCUUAGGGCAAUCCACAGCCUUGUCCUUUCUGACAACUUGGAGAUCGGGAUUGUUUGCUCUUUUGCUGUAGGGUAAUCUUUUACCCUCUAGAAAGUGAAGUUGAUUGGUGACAGGUUGAGAAGAAUGCUCACAGGCAAGAUCCGUGUGAGAGCUCCCAGAGCGCGUGUGCUGAGUGUCAAUUACAAGUUACUAAGAGGAAGGCAUAAAAAUAGAGUUAUGCCCUUCAGCACAUCGUGUACGAUUAAGUAUAAUCGGUAAUCUUCCUUUUCAUCGCUUGGAAAGUACAAGAAGUUUCUAACUUUUAGGUACAUUUCAUGCAAUGUCUGCACAGGCUGUUGCCGGAUCACCUCCUCACUUUCUCUCUACCUUGAAGCCACAGAAAG
Long non-coding RNA from Pristis pectinata (smalltooth sawfish), 609 nucleotides. RefSeq lists it as uncharacterized. The transcript is spliced from 5 exons. The record is from RefSeq and is a predicted model, not a curated record. Lineage: Eukaryota; Metazoa; Chordata; Chondrichthyes; Rhinopristiformes; Pristidae.